RNAcentral lists this non-coding RNA (23 nucleotides) under Arabidopsis thaliana (thale cress). The record is from RNAcentral. Lineage: Eukaryota; Viridiplantae; Streptophyta; Magnoliopsida; Brassicales; Brassicaceae.
AGCGGAUUUUAGUCCCAGGGCUA